Aquila chrysaetos chrysaetos is the source of this 3229-nucleotide long non-coding RNA. RefSeq lists it as uncharacterized. The transcript is spliced from 7 exons. The record is from RefSeq and is a predicted model, not a curated record. NCBI's taxonomy places the organism in Eukaryota, Metazoa, Chordata, Aves, Accipitriformes, Accipitridae.
AAGCAAGUGGGAUGCAGAAGGCAUCUGCUUCCAGUCUUCUGAUGUACCUCGAGGACCUAUGUCUGGAGAAAUUGGGUGAAACAAGGAUAUGAGAAUCAGCACUUGCGGAAAUGAGGACAGCAAAAUAAACAUUGUACCUUGAGAUGCAGAAUUACUGAAGCUUCAUUUCUUAUGGAUUUGGGUUCUUCGUUUCCCUACUGCCUCACCAGUCAAUCCCUGUUCUGAGGAUCAAACCUGUAUUUCCUCUGUGUGCUUCAAGAAGGUAUAUUAGCGUGGUUGAGUGUCAGCAUCGCUCAGCUGGAUCUGUUGAAGAUACCAGUGUUUGGGAUUUGGCCCAUGACAGCACUGAUCUGUUCUUUUUAAAUCUAAUCCUUUGUGCGUCUCCCCUGCUCAUCAUGGAAAUCUGGGCUGACUUAACCGCAUACUUAUUUCAAAGUGUACAAGUCACACAAUCAGACACUGACUUUUGGAGAGCGUUUGCUACCCUGUUUACCAGGAUUUUGUUGAAGAGCCCUUGAGAUAAGUAUGAGAGGUGCAGUCACAGGUGAAAUCUCUCUUUUCUUUAGCUACCUAUAGACCACUAUAAUCUAUUUUUGUUUGAAACAGCAGCAGCCCAAAAGGUGACGCUUCUGUGAAGGCUCCCUUGAGGGGGGAGGCAGCGACGGGGGACAUAAAUACUCUUCUGAUGUUUUUUAGAAAUACAGUUGUACCCAGAGAAUCGGUACUUUACUCCUGUUCUGCAACACAUAAAUACACAUCAGACGUGUGGUAAACCAAAGCCUCUCAGGAGCUUGUCCUGAAAGAGGAAAAGACACAAUGAUUUAGAGUCUACAUCUGCAGCUCUUGCAGCUGCUUCAGUCCCCGCUGCCGGAGGAGAAUUCCCUGCAUCGACGGCCUCUUGACGCAGGGGCUUAGAGCAGUUCCCGAAGAAAAAGCCCACGGGAACCUAACGCUGUUGCUAACCCGUUGGAAAGGCGAGGAGGGGACAGCCACCGUGCGGCUCGAAGGAAAGCGGUUGCUCCUGCCAUUAGAUCCCCAUCUUGGGUCACCUCUAGUACCGCUUUGCAAGCGGACGGGGACUCCCCGACGGCUGCGACUCUUGUCGCAUUCUCCAACAUCUGUUGAGAGCAGGAUUAGACUAGGUAGCUUCCUAAACCAAAGGGAAGGUCAGCGUGGUAGGGCGCUGGCAUGGCGCACCUUUGUACUCAGGCUUGCAGGAGUUGCUGAAGGGAGUGCUUGGCCGUGAAGGCCUGCUGGAAUGUCUCGAGUCAUGGGAAAACACAUGGGGGACAUCUCUGUAACGAGGCAGCUGAAGAUGUGAGGAUGUUCCGGAGCAAAGACUUGCACAACCCCUGUGUUUUGACGUUACCCUUCUCGUCGAGAGACGGGGAAUAUAGCAGCUCCAGCUACUGCGGCAGUGCAGUGUGACUCCUUGCAGUCUACGUGUAAAAAAACAUCUUCUUACACCGAAGAGCAAGAAGAGAGACCAGCAAGGUAGGCUGGCAACUACUGGGAGUCUGGGAGACAGGCGUUCAGCUCCCUGCUUCCUCUGCUGCAAGGAAAAUAGACAGGACUGGAUCCUAAAGUUUUCAAUUCUAGAGAAGAGUGUUUACCCGCUUGUUGAUUAAUUGAUGGUUGUAUUCCCCUGCUGUAAUCAGAGCGCAGUUUCCAGAAGUUCACUAGCAGCAAGGAUCAACGAGAAGCUCGCAGGAGCUGGCAGCCUGGGAGGAGAUGUCACCGCAUAGCUCGCUGUCCUCGAGAGCCGCUCCGGAGGACGGCUGAGGUCCGCGGAGAGGCCGCGGAGGCCCCAAACGGUCUGACGUCUGGCCCUAAAAUAAGAGGCAGCAACGUCGGUGGGGAAGGCAGGCUUAUACUGAUAGCAAGAACGAGAAGGGGCUGCUGCCAGUUGGCUCGUCGACGCUUGAAGCGCGCCGGUGGUGGGAGAGGCGCAGAUGUCUGACAGCAGAAACAACAUCUUCCCAGCGCCGUCUGCACGAGGCGCUGCUCUCGCCAGAUCUCGGGGCUGCAUCUUCCCUCGGUGCCCCGGCGAAAGUCUCGGAAACCAAGGCAGCUACUGCGGGGCCAGAACCGGUCCCAAGGGUCACUUCUUGCUUUUCCCUUUCGCGGGCUGCGUAGGCAGUCCGCAACGUGAGCGUCAGGGUAGGCUCGAGGCCGCUCGUGCCUGACGGUGCGGUGCGUUUCUCAGGCCAUUUUAAAAUGGUUUUUUUGCUACCUAUCAGGCCACCGGACUGGCAGAAACUAUUUCUCCCCUCCCUUCAAGAGCAAUGGUUUCCUGCUGUUAAUCCAAACCAUAAUAAAACCUUAAAUAUAUACUGUGAAAAAUGUUAUGCCUACUUAAGCAAGAUAGUUGCCUGUAAUAGUGUGCCAUAAAGCAAUCUGAAAUGUUUAUUGUCUGUUCCCCAACUGCAGUUUUAUUUCUUUUCAGCAGUUUUUGUGUCUACAGGAUUUUCUUCACUUUGGAAGUUUCAGAAGAAGUUUUUCCCUUUCCCUGAACACACAGUGAUUAUUUGCACAGGAGAUCCUCCUGCCAGUGCAGAUAUGUGCAAGCAUUUUUUUCAAAACUUCCAGUUUCCUAAACUUUUUCUGGGGAAAAAAACAUUGUUUAAAUCAAUAGCAAGCCUUGAUAUGAUAGGCUUUAAAGGGCAGCCUGACUUCCAAAGGAGCAGAUAACAUUAAACAAGAUCUCUUUUGUAAAGGCUGAAAUAGAAAAUUAGGAAAAGAAAAGAAAAAAAGGAAAGAAAGGAAAGAAGGGAAAAAAAAAAAAAACAGCCAAGGUUAGGGGGUGGUAAAGAUGUUGCUGCUGGAUCUAGCUCCAGAGACACAAUGUGUAUUUCAUUGCCACGAAUAAACUGUAUCUAGGGAACAACCAAAUGAAAAAGUGAGGACAGGAGAUAUCUUAUUUUUGUUGUUUGUUUCCAAAGAGUCCACCCCCACAUAGGUCACUUGGAAUUCAUUUGUCUACAUCCUGGACUGCACGUAGGGGAAAAAAAAAAUGCCUGGGAUCUGAGAAAGAGGAAUGCGAUAGGGCAUGGGAAUCACAGCGUCACGGUGGUCACCAGAGCAUAGUUUGGCUCGUCUUAAAACAAGCAAGCACCGUUGGACCUCUGUAAUACUAGCAAAUCGGCCGUGCUAUCAGGCUACCUAUCAGAGGCUGAAUGCUUGAGAAAAAGUGUGUGGGUUUUUAGACAGAGCCUGGGGCGUUGGAGGG